GGGUGGAUACCCAAGUGGCCAAAGGGGGCAGACUGUAAAUCUGCUGGCUCUGCCUUCGCAGGUUCGAAUCCUGCUCCACCCA
This 82-nucleotide transfer RNA is filed under the name Singulisphaera acidiphila DSM 18658. RNAcentral's name for it is "tRNA-Tyr (GTA) (tRNA-Tyr-GTA-1-1)". It matches the Rfam family "tRNA". From Rfam's summary of the family: Transfer RNA (tRNA) molecules are approximately 80 nucleotides in length. Their secondary structure includes four short double-helical elements and three loops (D, anti-codon, and T loops). The record is from Rfam by way of RNAcentral. RNAcentral also lists the same sequence under 1 other name. Lineage: Bacteria; Pseudomonadati; Planctomycetota; Planctomycetia; Isosphaerales; Isosphaeraceae.